This 844-nucleotide ribosomal RNA is filed under the name uncultured bacterium. RNAcentral describes it as "bacterial SSU rRNA". It matches the Rfam family "Bacterial small subunit ribosomal RNA", at positions 8 to 853 of the family's 1533-position model. The record is from RNAcentral.
AGAGUUUGAUCAUGGCUCAGAUUGACGCUGCGGCAGGCUUACACAUGCAGUCGACGGUUACGGGAGGAGCUUGCUUCUUGCUGACGAGUGCGACCGGGUGAGUAAUGCUGGGGAUCUGGCUUAUGGAGGGGAUAACUACGGGAAACUGUAGCUUAUACCGCGUAAUAUCUUCGAUUAAAGGGUGGGACUUUCGGGCCACCUGCCAUAAGAUGAGCCCAAGUGGGAUUAGGUAGUUGGUGGGGUAAAGGCCUUACCAAGCCGACGAUCUCUAGCUGGUCUGAGAGGAUGACCAGCCACACUGGAACUGAGACACGGUCCAGACUCCUACGGGAGGCAGCAGUGGGGAAUAUUGCACAAUGGGGGGAACCCUGAUGCAGCCAUGCCGCGUGAAUGAAGAAGGCCUUCGGGUUGUAAAGUUCUUUCGGUGAUGAGGAAGGUGUUUGUUUUAAUAGAGCAAGCAAUUGACGUUAGUCACAGAAGAAGCACCGGCUAACUCCGUGCCAGCAGCCGCGGUAAUACGGAGGGUGCGAGCGUUAAUCGGAAUGACUGGGCGUAAAGGGCACGCAGGCGGUGACUUAAGUGAGAUGUGAAAGCCCCGAGCUUAACUUGGGAAUUGCAUUUCAUACUGGGUCGCUAGAGUAUUUUAGGGAGGGGUAGAAUUCCACGUGUAGCGGUGAAAUGCGUAGAGAUGUGGAGGAAUACCGAAGGCGAAGGCAGCCCCUUGGGAAUAUACUGACGCUCAUGUGCGAAAGCGUGGGGAGCAAACAGGAUUAGAUACCCUGGUAGUCCACGCUGUAAACGCUGUCGAUUUGGGGAUUGGGCUUUAAGCUUGGUGCCCGUAGCU